This 529-nucleotide long non-coding RNA is filed under the name Erythranthe guttata (spotted monkey flower). RNAcentral's name for it is "long non-coding RNA (EGUT_LNC000786)". Lineage: Eukaryota; Viridiplantae; Streptophyta; Magnoliopsida; Lamiales; Phrymaceae. The record is from RNAcentral.
UCCGCCUAAUCCACCAAAAAACCCAAAAUCUGCCUCCUAUCACCAUGCCGCCGCCACACCACACCAUCACCAGACUAAAUUCUUAUCUCUGUUUUUUCUUCUUAUAUAAAACUAAGUAAAAACAUGAAAUUUGUAAGUUUCUCAAAACCCAAAAUACAGAUAUGAAGACAACUCAAAUAUUCCCAAUGCUUCCACACCAUUCAAACAAUCCUUAACAAUAAUAAAAUAAAUAAAUAAAUAAAUAAAAUAGAUAAAAUAAAUAAUUCAUACAAGCAGAUACAAACAUGAUCCUUUAGAAUUGGAAUCGUUGAGCUGUUGUGUGAACUGCUUCAUUCAUUUGUUUGAAUACUGAUCUCCAAUUCAUACUACAACAAUUAAUCAAAUAAAAUAAAUAAAAAAUAUAACAAGCAUGAGAGAGAGAGAGUCAAUGUAUCAUUCAUAUAUUUUCAUCGGUAAAAAGUUGAGAUCAUUAAUAACUUACAAAAUCAUGAGUUUGUGAUAGAAUCAAAAUUAAAGGCGGCGGUGGUGG